GAAUAUUGGACAAUGGGCGCAAGCCUGAUCCCGCCAUGCCGCGUGAGUGAUGAAGGCCUUAGGGUUGUAAAGCUCUUUCAGUGGGGAAGAUAAUGACGGUACCCACACAAGAAGCCCCGGCUAACUUCGUGCCAGCAGCCGCGGUAAUACGAAGGGGGCUAGCGUUGUUCGGAUUUACUGGGCGUAAAGCGCACGUAGGCGGAUUGGUCAGUUAGGGGUGAAAUCCCGGAGCUCAACUCCGGAACUGCCUUUAAUACUGCCAGUCUAGAGUCCGAGAGAGGUGAGUGGAACUCCUAGUGUAGAGGUGGAAUUCGUAGAUAUUAGGAAGAACACCAGUGGCGAAGGCGGCUCACUGGCUCGGUACUAACGCUGAGGUGCGAAAGCGUGGGGAGCAAACAG
RNAcentral lists this ribosomal RNA (399 nucleotides) under uncultured bacterium. RNAcentral's name for it is "partial 16S ribosomal RNA". It matches the Rfam family "Bacterial small subunit ribosomal RNA", at positions 359 to 775 of the family's 1533-position model. The record is from RNAcentral.